This is a long non-coding RNA of Alosa alosa (allis shad), 690 nucleotides long. RefSeq lists it as uncharacterized. The record is from RefSeq and is a predicted model, not a curated record. NCBI's taxonomy places the organism in Eukaryota, Metazoa, Chordata, Actinopteri, Clupeiformes, Clupeidae. The transcript is spliced from 5 exons.
CUAGCUAUGUUUGUUUGUUUGUUUGUUUGUUUUAUACUGUAGAUGUAUUCAAUUGUUGUUUUCACGGAAAAAAAUGAGACAGAGGUUAUACCAAGUGACUGGCUGAGCAUCGAUAAAAAAAUGUCCUUUUGGCCCCCAUAUAAUACUACUAAAUGUAGAAAAGCGGUUGAAAAAAAUGAAACCCCUGAUGAAGAAUGGGAAGAAUAUAUAACUGAAUGGGUGGCUGAGUAUGAUUCCUAUGAAAAAGCCCGAAGGAAGCUCGUGAAGUUCUGCAAAGGCAAUGGUUUGGAGUCGACAGACGAGGACAGUACCAUCAUCGAAAUAUGUUGGAUUUAGGUCUACAUCAGCCCCUCCAUCUGCAGCCUCAGGAAGACCUCCAGUUCAGGCCUCAACAAGUAGGCUCCACACAGAGACAAUGGAAAGACCAAAAAAGAAAUUCUGCAAUAAUGGAGCCAAAAGCCAGACCUUGCCAGCCAUACCACCAUUUCCCUUUCCACCAUCAACACCAGAGACAGUCCCAGAUCUAAGACAAGAUGAAAGAGAACUCCGACUCUUUCAGAUGCUAGAGGAGAUAAAAGGCCAAGUCAGACAAAAUUCUCUUCUGCUUCAGGCAAUUUUGAGAAGAGAGAGUGUCACUGAAGUCAGCAGUUUUCCAGAUUUUGAGUUUCCGUUACAAAAUAUUAAUGAUAU